RNAcentral lists this transfer RNA (63 nucleotides) under Leptoderma retropinna. RNAcentral's name for it is "tRNA-Asp". The record is from RNAcentral. Lineage: Eukaryota; Metazoa; Chordata; Actinopteri; Alepocephaliformes; Alepocephalidae.
UAGUAAAAUACAUUACACUGCCUUGUCAAGGCAAAAUUGUGGGUUGAACCCCUGCGAGUCCUG